AGUGGGGAACGCUCUGGCCAGCACCCUUGAGUGCGGCCCAGCCCCUUCGCCGGCGGGUUUACACGACAGCCCCCCCCCCCCCCACCGGGCUGCGCUUGAUCCCUCUCUCGGUUUCCCGGCGAGGCACAGAUGCGGGCGGCCGCCAGCCGGGGAUCCGCGCAGACUCAGCGACCGACCGCAGGUACAUUGCUUGGAAGAGAAAGCCUGCUAUCACCUCUGACUUCACUCAACAAUCUUGCAUUAGGAAGACGCGGGUCUGUGCUUGCUGCCUCCGGCGUUGUCCUGGAUACAGAGGCUCUGGCGUGAUCAUAGAGAAUGUUCUCCAGUGACUGGAACCACUGUUUCUAGAUAAAAGGUCAUAGCCUAUUUUUU
RNAcentral lists this long non-coding RNA (372 nucleotides) under Cavia porcellus (domestic guinea pig). RNAcentral describes it as "lncRNA (ENSCPOG00000038494.1)". Lineage: Eukaryota; Metazoa; Chordata; Mammalia; Rodentia; Caviidae. The record is from RNAcentral.